Molecule: long non-coding RNA, 218 nt
Filed under: Elaeis guineensis (African oil palm)
Lineage: Eukaryota; Viridiplantae; Streptophyta; Magnoliopsida; Arecales; Arecaceae
Description: long non-coding RNA (EGUI_LNC043164)
Source: RNAcentral
GGGCCAUUAGAUUCUAGGCCAUGCUGGUGGGUUCUGGGCCAUCAGAUUCUAGACCAUGCCGACGGGUUUUGGGUCGUGCCCACGAGUUUUGAGCUGUGCCAAUGGGUUCUGGACCAUGCCAGCGGCUGUGGGCCAUGCUGUUGGAUUCUGGGUCAUCGGGUUCUGUGCUAUGCUGGUGGGUUCUAAGCUAUCAGAUUCUGGACCGUGCUGGUGGGUUC